Callithrix jacchus (white-tufted-ear marmoset) is the source of this 104-nucleotide small nuclear RNA. NCBI's taxonomy places the organism in Eukaryota, Metazoa, Chordata, Mammalia, Primates, Cebidae. The record is from Ensembl.
GUGCUCACUUGGACAGCACAUACACUAAAAUUGGAACGAUACAGAGAUUAGCCAGGCUCCUGCACAAGGAUGACAUACAAAUUCGUGAACGAUUCCAUAGUAAA